Molecule: ribosomal RNA, 253 nt
Filed under: uncultured bacterium
Lineage: Bacteria
Description: partial 16S ribosomal RNA
Rfam family: Bacterial small subunit ribosomal RNA
Source: RNAcentral
UAUGUAGGGACCAAGCGUUGUUCGGAUUUACUGGGCGUAAAGGGCGCGUAGGCGGCAUGACAAGUCACUUGUGAAAUCUCCGGGCUUAACUCGGAACGGUCAAGUGAUACUGUCGCGCUAGAGUGCGGAAGGGGCAAUCAGAAUUCUUGGUGUAGCGGUGAAAUGCGUAGAUAUCAAGAGGAAUACCUGAGGUGAAGACGGGUUGCUAGGCCGACACUGACGCUGAAGCGCGAAAGCCAGGGGAGCAAACGGG